CCUACGGGACGCAGCAGUGGGGAAUAUUGCACAAUGGGCGAAAGCCUGAUGCAGCAACGCCGCGUGAAGGAAGAAGGUCUUCGGAUCGUAAACUUCUGUCCUUGGGGAAGAUAAUGACGGUACCCUUGGAGGAAGCCCCGGCUAACUACGUGCCAGCAGCCGCGGUAAUACGGAGGAUGCGAGCGUUAUCCGGAUUUAUUGGGUUUAAAGGGUGCGCAGGCGGUCUGUUAAGUCAGCGGUCAAAGCCCGGGGCUCAACCCCGGCCCGCCGUUGAAACUGGCAGUCUCGAGUUGGAGAGAAGGAUG
Molecule: ribosomal RNA, 305 nt
Filed under: uncultured bacterium
Lineage: Bacteria
Description: bacterial SSU rRNA
Rfam family: Bacterial small subunit ribosomal RNA
Source: RNAcentral